RNAcentral lists this ribosomal RNA (447 nucleotides) under uncultured bacterium. RNAcentral describes it as "bacterial SSU rRNA". It matches the Rfam family "Bacterial small subunit ribosomal RNA", at positions 328 to 792 of the family's 1533-position model. The record is from RNAcentral.
UAGCCAGACUCCUACGGGAGGCAGCAGUGGGGAAUAUUGCACGAUGGGGGGAACCCUGAUGCAGCAACGCCGCGUGGGUGAAGAAGUACUUCGGUAUGUAAAGCCCUGUCAGCAGGGAAGAAAAUGACGGUACCUGACCAAGAAGCCCCGGCUAACUACGUGCCAGCAGCCGCGGUAAUACGUAGGGGGCAAGCGUUAUCCGGAUUUACUGGGUGUAAAGGGAGCGUAGACGGCGAUGCAAGCCAGAUGUGAAAGCCCGGGGCUCAACCCCGGGACUGCAUUUGGAACUGUGUGGCUGGAGUGUCGGAGAGGCAGGCGGAAUUCCUAGUGUAGCGGUGAAAUGCGUAGAUAUUAGGAGGAACACCAGUGGCGAAGGCGGCCUGCUGGACGAUGACUGACGUUGAGGCUCGAAAGCGUGGGGAGCAAACAGGAUUAGAUACCCGUGUA